This 253-nucleotide ribosomal RNA is filed under the name Sphingopyxis sp. 65-8. RNAcentral describes it as "partial 23S ribosomal RNA". It matches the Rfam family "Bacterial large subunit ribosomal RNA", at positions 2657 to 2925 of the family's 2925-position model. Lineage: Bacteria; Pseudomonadati; Pseudomonadota; Alphaproteobacteria; Sphingomonadales; Sphingopyxidaceae. The record is from RNAcentral.
GAAAUUUGAGAGGAGUUGACCCUAGUACGAGAGGACCGGGUUGAACAUACCUCUGGUGUACCUGUCGUGGCGCCAGCCGCGCAGCAGGGUAGCUAUGUAUGGACGGGAUAACCGCUGAAAGCAUCUAAGCGGGAAGCCUCCCUCAAGAUAAGAUUUCUUAGAGCCGUGGAAGACCACCACGUUGAUAGAUCGGAUGUAGAAGCGCGGUAACGCGUGGAGCUAACCGAUACUAAUUGCUCUAUUCGCGCUUGAA